UAUUUGAAAAAAAAAUAUUUUUAGAUGGAAUAAUAUAUUUUUCAAUAAUUGAUAAUAUAUUACUUUGUAGCAAAGAAAAACAUCUGAAGGUAAAUCAGCAAAUAUUUCAUGAUAAACAAUAUUUUCUAUAUAAUAUUUUGACUCUGUAUAUUCAUUCCUUAUCAAAAACUUUAAUUCCAUCUUAUGAUAUAACAUAAGAAAGUGCAACAUAGAGUUGGUCAUGACUGAAUACUGGAGUGGGC
This 242-nucleotide long non-coding RNA is filed under the name Elaeis guineensis (African oil palm). Its description in RNAcentral is "long non-coding RNA (EGUI_LNC028242)". The record is from RNAcentral. Lineage: Eukaryota; Viridiplantae; Streptophyta; Magnoliopsida; Arecales; Arecaceae.